UUAGAGCUAGAAUCAUUUUCCAAAUCUAUAGAAAAUUACCUUCAAAUCCAAUUUACAAUAGCCAUUUCAAACUACUGACCAUAAAUAUGUUCAAUGUAAUCCACCUCUUCUUAAAUAUAAGCUACAUCUUGACUUGAUUUACUUUCUCCAAAAAUCAUGAACAUUCUUAUUCUAUAGAAAUAUUCAACCUACAGCGAUAUACAAGCUAAAAAUUUAAGUAUAUUGAAUCGUGGAUCAUCAAUCACAGGGCAGAUUCCUCUGAAUAGACUAAAAUACCGCCAUCUUUUUUAAUUUUCAAGACCUUAACUACUAAUAAUCUGGG
RNAcentral lists this ribosomal RNA (322 nucleotides) under Coccotrypes petioli. Its description in RNAcentral is "partial 12S ribosomal RNA". The record is from RNAcentral. Lineage: Eukaryota; Metazoa; Arthropoda; Insecta; Coleoptera; Curculionidae.